This 520-nucleotide ribosomal RNA is filed under the name uncultured Glomus. RNAcentral's name for it is "SSU rRNA". It matches the Rfam family "Eukaryotic small subunit ribosomal RNA", at positions 569 to 1091 of the family's 1831-position model. The record is from RNAcentral. Lineage: Eukaryota; Fungi; Glomeromycota; Glomeromycetes; Glomerales; Glomeraceae.
AGCAGCCGCGGUAAUUCCAGCUCCAAUAGCGUAUAUUAAAGUUGUUGCAGUUAAAAAGCUCGUAGUUGAAUUUCGGAAUCGACGGAUUGGUCGCGCCUUCGGUGUGUACUGGUCUUGCCGGUUUCUCCCUUCUGACGAACCACGAUGUCAUUAAUUUGGUGUCGUGGGAAAUCAGGACUGUUACUUUGAAAAAAUUAGAGUGUUUAAAGCAGGCAUUAGCUUGAAUACAUUAGCAUGGAAUAAUGAAAUAGGACGUUUGAUCUUAUUUUGUUGGUCUCUAGGAUCGACGUAAUGAUUAAUAGGGAUAGUUGGGGGCAUUAGUAUUCAAUUGUCAGAGGUGAAAUUCUUGGAUUUAUUGAAGACUAACUACUGCGAAAGCAUUUGCCAAGGAUGUUUUCAUUAAUCAAGAACGAAAGUUAGGGGAUCGAAGACGAUCAGAUACCGUCGUAGUCUUAACCAUAAACUAUGCCGACUAGGGAUCGGAUGAUGUUAAUUUUUAAUGACUCAUUCGGCGCCUUAA